GACGUAGGGCGCGAGCGUUGUCCGGAUUUAUUGGGCGUAAAGAGCUCGUAGGCGGCUCAUUGCGUCAACCGUGAAAUCCUGCUGCUCAACGGCAGGUCUGCGGUUGAUACGGGUGGGCUGGAGUUCGGUAGGGGAGACUGGAAUUCCUGGUGUAGCGGUGAAAUGCGCAGAUAUCAGGAGGAACACCGGUGGCGAAGGCGGGUCUCUGGGCCGAUAUUGACGCUGAGGAGCGAAAGCGUGGGGAGCGAACAGG
Molecule: ribosomal RNA, 253 nt
Filed under: uncultured bacterium
Lineage: Bacteria
Description: partial 16S ribosomal RNA
Rfam family: Bacterial small subunit ribosomal RNA
Source: RNAcentral